RNAcentral lists this ribosomal RNA (250 nucleotides) under uncultured bacterium. RNAcentral's name for it is "partial 16S ribosomal RNA". It matches the Rfam family "Bacterial small subunit ribosomal RNA", at positions 810 to 1058 of the family's 1533-position model. The record is from RNAcentral.
UGUCAACUAGCUGUUGGGGCCUUCGGGCCUUGGUAGCGCAGCUAACGCGUGAAGUUGACCGCCUGGGGAGUACGGUCGCAAGAUUAAAACUCAAAGGAAUUGACGGGGACCCGCACAAGCGGUGGAUGAUGUGGAUUAAUUCGAUGCAACGCGAAAAACCUUACCUACCCUUGACAUGUCUGGAAUGCCGAAGAGAUUUGGCAGUGCUCGACAAGAGACCGGAACACAGGUGCUGCAUGGCUGUCGUCAG